Molecule: non-coding RNA, 326 nt
Organism: Caenorhabditis elegans
Lineage: Eukaryota; Metazoa; Nematoda; Chromadorea; Rhabditida; Rhabditidae
Source: Ensembl
CCAUGCUCAUCAACGGGCUCCGCGGCGUCGACGACAUUUUCGCCUUCUUCUCCUUCGACUUUCUGAUGUUGCUGCUCGGUGGCAAAGCGAUCUGGAACAGAGAAAAAUAAAUGAAUGAAUUGGGGUGGAAAAGUGCAAGUAGUCGGCGUGUGUCACUGGUGUAAAAUUCAAGAGCCGACGGCGGUGGCGGUGGUGGUGGGGGACAAUCAAGGAAUGAAGAAGCAGAGAAGGGGGGACAAACAUGAAAUUGAAUGGUCCCCUGGGUGAAUUUGCGACACGCCAAAACUUAUCUUGUUUCUGCUUCUAUUCUCAACUAUUCCUGAAAA